Molecule: ribosomal RNA, 253 nt
Filed under: uncultured bacterium
Lineage: Bacteria
Description: partial 16S ribosomal RNA
Rfam family: Bacterial small subunit ribosomal RNA
Source: RNAcentral
UACGGGGGGGGCAAGCGUUGUUCGGAAUUACUGGGCGUAAAGGGCUCGUAGGCGGCCAACUAAGUCGGACGUGAAAUCCCCAGGCUCAACCUGGGAACUGCGUCCGAUACUGGAUGGCUUGAAUUCGGGAGAGGGAUGCAGAAUUCCAGGUGUAGCGGUGAAAUGCGUAGAGAUCCGGAGGAACACCAGCGGCGAAGGCGGCAUCCUGGACUGGUCCUGACACUCAGGAGCGAAAGCGUGGGGAGCGAUCCGG